Molecule: non-coding RNA, 191 nt
Organism: Pantherophis guttatus
Lineage: Eukaryota; Metazoa; Chordata; Lepidosauria; Squamata; Colubridae
Source: RefSeq, a predicted model, not a curated record
ACAUUAGGAUCUGAAACAUAGAGGAGUGUGCCCACCUUUUAUACCUGUGGGCGGGGAUUCAGGAACACCACCUGGAGCUGCUGUGACCACUCUAGGAUAUUGCCCCCAUCCAUUCUCAACUUGGGAAAGUCUACUGGCGGAAGAGCGCAUGCGCGAAGUCCAUUUCAGCUCCGCCGUCGCCGAGGAAGGAC